GUGCUCAAUUUGACAGCAUAUAUACUGAAAUUGGAACAAUACAGACGAGACUAGCAUGGCCCCUGUGCAAGAAUGACAGAUUUCUAAAUCAUUCUUUAUUUUUUUCU
Lagenorhynchus albirostris (white-beaked dolphin) is the source of this 107-nucleotide small nuclear RNA. The record is from RefSeq and is a predicted model, not a curated record. Lineage: Eukaryota; Metazoa; Chordata; Mammalia; Artiodactyla; Delphinidae.